Desulfosporosinus meridiei DSM 13257 is the source of this 187-nucleotide non-coding RNA. The record is from Rfam. Lineage: Bacteria; Bacillati; Bacillota; Clostridia; Eubacteriales; Desulfitobacteriaceae.
AAUCAAAUAUUUCGAGCAAAUGAUUUUUCUUUGCUGAAAAAUCAAAAAACAGGGAAGCCGGUGUGAUUCCGGCGCGGUCCCGCCACUGUAACGGGGAGUUCUUUGCCAUAUCCACUGAGGAAACUUGGGAAGGAGGCAUAGAACGAGGAACCUUAGCCAGGAGACCUGAUUGCUUGAAUGCUUUAAC